GACGAACGCUGGCGGCGUGCUUAACACAUGCCAGUCGAACGGAAAGGCCCUGCUUUUGUGGGGUGCUCGAGUGGCGAACGGGUGAGUAACACGUGAGUAACCUGCCCUUGACUUUGGGAUAACUUCAGGAAACUGGGGCUAAUACCGGAUAGGAGCUCCUGCUGCAUGGUGGGGGUUGGAAAGUUUCGGCGGUUGGGGAUGGACUGGCGGCUUAUCAGCUUGUUGGUGGGGUAGUGGCUUACCAAGGCUUUGACGGGUAGCCGGCCUGAGAGGGUGACCGGCCACAUUGGGACUGAGAUACGGCCCAGACUCCUACGGGAGGCAGCAGUGGGGAAUAUUGCACAAUGGGCGGAAGCCUGAUGCAGCAACGCCGCGUGCGGGAUGACGGCCUUCGGGCUGUAAACCGCUUUCGCCUGUGACGAAGCGUGAGUGACGGUAAUGGGUAAAGAAGCACCGGCUAACUACGU
RNAcentral lists this ribosomal RNA (467 nucleotides) under uncultured bacterium. Its description in RNAcentral is "partial 16S ribosomal RNA". It matches the Rfam family "Bacterial small subunit ribosomal RNA", at positions 28 to 506 of the family's 1533-position model. The record is from RNAcentral.